CAAAACUUGUUUUGUCUCAGGCUGGAGGACAUGGACAUGCUGCGUGUGUCUCCAUGGUGCUGCUGGUUCCUGAUCUGGUUCUAAUCAGGAGUGUUCCAGCUUCGCCCAGCUGACCUGCAGAUUUAACGUGGAUCAGUGAGGGCUCACUGAAAGUGGAGCGCGGAGGAACACGACCACACUGCAGAGGAGGAACGGUCGACACUUACCCCUGUUAGCACUUAAAGAGAAAAUCAUCUUGUUACAGUUGUUAGGAUUCUGACCUUUGGCUCUGUAAUUUAACAAGUGUUUAACAGAGAAAUGGAAAAGCAAAGAGAAAUCAGUGUCAGGAGACAUUAUGUUGAUAAUCCUGCAUCCCUGUUUGUUCAUUUAUCCCUGGUAGCGAGUUUAUUUUGACCAUCAAACAUUCGAGGUAUCAGCAAUGUUUUCAAGGAAAUCAAUGAUUAGAAAUGCAAAUGAAUGUCACUUUUAGAACUGUAUCUCUUAAAAGCAUUGGGUUCUAAUAAAAACUCUUAAGUCUAAUAAUUUAAAGCUAA
This is a long non-coding RNA of Poecilia latipinna (sailfin molly), 533 nucleotides long. RefSeq lists it as uncharacterized. The transcript is spliced from 3 exons. Lineage: Eukaryota; Metazoa; Chordata; Actinopteri; Cyprinodontiformes; Poeciliidae. The record is from RefSeq and is a predicted model, not a curated record.